AUUGUAUAGUAAUGAUACUGCAAGUCCAAUAGUUCCAUUCAUGUAUCUACUUAUAAAAAAUAUAUUCUGCUUUCUAAACUCUCACUGAAAGUAUAAUAUAAAUUUGAAUUUCGUAUUUAUAUUUAAGAUUAUAAUAAUUAUUAAAUUUUUAUAUUAUAAAAAUAAUUAUUUAUGGGAUUUUUUCGUUUACCUGUUCGUCGAGGUUAUGUAGUCAUUAUAUUAGGUGCUCUUACUGGUUAUUAUAUUUGGAAUGAACCGUUAAAACAAUACGCUGAGAAGAAUUUUGCUAACGAAAAUUUAAAUAAAGAAGCAUCUCAUGGCUAAAUACAAAUUUCGUUUACAUCCUGGAAGUAAGCUACUUCUUGGUGUGGGUCUCUUUGUAGGAUGUUUUUUUAUUUAUAAAGAUUAUUUCGAACAGCACGUUGCAUUACGCAAAAGGGAGAAAAUUAAAAGAGAGGCAAAUAUGUUAUAUGAGAAAUAUAAAGAAAGAGACACAAAUCUAUCAAAAGUAGAAAUCAUCUGAAAACUGUGUAUUGUCAUUAGAAUGUAGCAUGUGUAAUAAAUAAUACAUUUAAAACUA
Long non-coding RNA from Frieseomelitta varia, 580 nucleotides. RefSeq lists it as uncharacterized. The record is from RefSeq and is a predicted model, not a curated record. NCBI's taxonomy places the organism in Eukaryota, Metazoa, Arthropoda, Insecta, Hymenoptera, Apidae. The transcript is spliced from 3 exons.